UUAUUGGGAUAAUACCCAUUAGCAUAUUAAAGACUCAGAGAUCCUACAGAGAAAAAAAUAACAAAAAACUAAACUCAACUAUCUAGGCUGGGUGCAGUGGCUCACGCCUGUAAUUCCAGCACUUUGGGAGGCCAAGGUGGGUGCGUCGCUUGAGGUCAUGAGUUCGAGACCAGCCUGGCCAACAUGGUGAAACCCCCUGUCUCUACCAAAAAUACAAAUUUAGCUGAGCAUGGUAGCGCAUACCUGUAAUCCCAGCUACUCAGGAGGCUG
RNAcentral lists this long non-coding RNA (270 nucleotides) under Homo sapiens (human). RNAcentral describes it as "non-protein coding lnc-HDAC2-10:2". The record is from RNAcentral. Lineage: Eukaryota; Metazoa; Chordata; Mammalia; Primates; Hominidae.